Molecule: ribosomal RNA, 273 nt
Filed under: uncultured bacterium
Lineage: Bacteria
Description: partial small subunit ribosomal RNA
Rfam family: Bacterial small subunit ribosomal RNA
Source: RNAcentral
AGAAUCAACGCUGGCGGCGUGCCUAACACAUGCAAGUCGAACGCGAAAGUCCCGCAAGGGAUGAGUAGAGUGGCAAACGGGUGAGUAACACGUGGGUGACCUGCCUUCGAGCGGGGGAUAACGUCCCGAAAAGGGACGCUAAUACCGCAUGACAUCCUGCCUUUGAACAGGCGGAGAUCAAAGCUGGGGAUCGCAAGACCUAGCACUCGAUGAGGGGCCCGCGCCUGAUUAGCUAGUUGGUGAGGUAACGGCUCACCAAGGCUACGAUCAGUA